UUGAAUGGCACUUGGGCAGCAUUUCAUUACUCAAAAUAGUCUUCCAAAUACAUGAGCCAAGCCCUCUUAUUUAUAGUGUUUAGAAGGCUGGAAAUUAAAAAGAAAGUGGAGGGAAAUUCAAAUGAAAAGCAUUUGAAUUUGGAGCCAAUUCCUAACAAGGAAAGUGUGACUUGGUUUCAUUUUUUUGGCACCUCCUAAAUCUACACCUACACCUUCUUUUUAUGUCACAUGGAAGGUGUGGCUUAGCUUUAUACAUUUGCACCUCUUAUAUUUAUAUCUACACCUCCCUUUAUGUUCUACUAAAAAUACUCAAAAGUAAUUACAAAAGAAACACAUCCAAUGAUGCUUAGUUGGCCAAUAUCUUCUAUUUGUUGGGCUUGAGCUGAAGCUUGAACUUGUAUUUGGGCUUGGGCUUGAGCUUUUUCUAUCAUGGGCUUGGGCCUCUUCCAUCAUCCCCUCCCUCUUGAAAAGGAUUUGUCCUCAAAUCCAAUGCUUCUUCUUCAUCAUCAUUAUGAGGAUGUAUGUGGUUGGAUGGUUUCCAUCAUCCCCUCCUUCUUGAGAGAAUCUGUCCUCAGAUCUACAGGUUUGAUCUCGAACAACAGCCUUAUUCUUAUUUUGAAAACUAGGCUCGUCCUCCAGGAUCAAAUGUCCAUCUAUGGGAAUCCUGAAACAAAGCAAAGGAGUUAGUGUGAGCAAUUGGAGAAAACUUAAUUGUAUAAAGUUGCCAUUUUUGUUUUUCUUUUGUUUUUUGCAACUUUUCACAAUAUUUCCUUUUUGAUGGUUGUAUGUAUCCUCUAAUCCUCUUAUGUUUUAUAAAAUUUCCAAUAGUAGUUACUUUUCCCUUAGGCAUAAUUCCUUUAGGAGGUGGUAACAACUUUAAAAGGGAAAGAGGACUAUGUUCACAUACAACUUCAAAUGUAGAAAUAUGAGUAAUCUUGUGGACUACUCCAUUGUAUGCAUGCUCAAUAGGAAAAGGAUACUCAUCCCAAGAAUUGUGGUUGUCUCUCAUGAUUUCUCGAAGCAUAGUAGAAAGAGCUAUGUUUUCAAUUUUAUUUUGACCAUUCUUUUGAGGAUGAUAAAAAUUGAAGAGAACAAUUUAGCUGCAAGUUUUCCGACGAGAAUCCUCAAAUCAUGGUUUGCGAAAUUUGGAGCUCUAUCCAACACUAUGCUUGAGGAUAAACCAUGAAGAUGUAUCACUUCUCUAGAGAAGAGUUUAUCCAUAUCCAUGAAAAUGGAAUCAAAAACCUUUUGUUGUCCUAGGAAGCUCUAAUAUGAAAUUUAGGCUUGUGUCUUCCCAAGGAACAUUUGCAAAAGGUGAAGGAGUAUAGAGUUCAUGAGACAUUGCCUUAGGUGUAGUUUUAAAACAAGAAAUGCAUCUAGGGUAAUGUCUUUGAACCUCCUUUCUCAUGGGUGACAAAAGUUUUCCUUUUAAAAGCUCUAGAGUUUUAUCAACUCUAAUUUAGCCCAUGAGUUCUUCUUCAUGAAAGAAUUUUUUUCUUAUGUGUAAAGGUAGUCCUGUUGUUACAACCAUUGUUUAUGAGAAUUUGUACAUUUUGCGAUGGUUGUCUCAAUAAGACAUGACAAGUUUCUUUAGGCACUAGCUCACAUAAAAAUUUGUCUUUGUAGAUGCCUAUAGAUAACUUGUCCUUCACUUUGUGAUAUCUUAGCACAUAUGAGAAAUAAUCUACUUCAUCUUUAUCUAUGCAAGCCUCUUUCAAGGAUUCUUCUUUUUUGACUAGGCUUGCAAGUGUUCCUUUACAAAAGGUAAGGCUAGGUUGUUCAACAAGAAGCAUAUUUUCAAAGGUAUUUUCAACUUUUACUUCUUGUUGAAUGACCUUGUGGGAAGGCACACUCUUUUCCCAGGCCUUUUGUUCUUCAAGGGUUUUCUCUUGAUUUUCUAUUUUUAAUAUGCUUGUAAGGGGUGUUAUAAGAUAUUCCUCAUUCUUUCUAGAUUCACACCACCCCUCACUUGGUUUUCCUUUUUCUUUUUCUUUAGCUUCCCUUUCGUGUUCCUCUCUUUUCUUUUGUAUCUUUCUUUCCUUCUUUUCUUUAUGGGAAGCAAACAAUUUUUCUACCCUCAUUUCCCAAUCUAAGCAAGCUUCUACAUUUUCUUUUCCAUGGAAAUGGGAUAGGUCUACCCUAGCCUCUCUUAGGCUUUCUUGUUCUCUUCUAUCUCUUCUAUAUCUUCUAGGGGGUGCUUGAUAAUAAUCUUUUAUUCUAAGGCUUCCCUCCCCAAAAGAAUCAUGAUCUUUAGAGAUAGAUGCAUGAGAGGUUAAUUUUUUGAAAUUUGAGACUUCUCAUCCUUUGCUUUAGUCAAUUCAUUAGUUUUGGUCUCAUUCUCCAAUUGUUUAGAUGAAAUUGAUUGAAUAUCCUUGGAAAGUUGUUUUAAAAGAGAUUUCAAGGAUUUCACAUCACUUUUAAGAGAUUUAGAGGAGUGAGAAGACAUGACUAAAACUUUGUGUUUAGAAAUGUUUUACUUUAAGAAAGAUGAGGGAAGUUAAUGAAGGUAGUUUUCCAGGUAAGAGAGGUGAGUCACAAUGGACUACUUAAAUACCAAGUCUUUGCCUUAGCCAAAAACUAUCCCUCAAGAUCUUCACACAAAUCUUUCUUUAGGUAAAUCACUUAAAACACAAUGAGGAUGUAGAAAUCAAAUUUUUAAUGCAUAAAACAAUGCAAGCUAUCUAGCAAAUUAUCAAAGCUUUAAACUAGACAAAAACAAAAGCAAUUAAGCGUAGCUAACUAAAGGCAAUUGGCGAAAUUAAAGCAAUUAACAAAUGCUAAGCUAGAAAGUUUAAGCUAGUCGGCCCUAGGUGAGGCUUCUUGGACACUUGGAGCCCUUGAAGACACACUGAUGGAGAUCAAGAUCAAGAAGAAAUAGAAGCCAAUAAUCAAGGACAAUAAGAAGUAGAGGCCCAAGUUGUAGACGCUCAAGAAGUCAUUAGCCCACCUCAUAGGCUUACAAGGAGCAAGUUCAAGGAAUUAGGAAAUAGUGGAAGGUUGUUUUCUCUUUUUAUAAUAUCUUGUGUUUUAAAAGGUUCUUAGAGGGAAACAUUAGACACCUCUUUUGUAAAAGCAUCUUUAGGCUUUAGUUUAGAAAAUUCUAGAAACUUGGGGAGUGAGCUUAGUAAGGGUGUGAGUGUAGGAGUCUUUUGGGUAGCUUAUAGAAUAAGCUUUGUAAAUGACCGGCCCUUGCUCCUAUAAAAGGAGGGCUUAGGUCCUUCAUAAUUCAGAUUUGAUAAUUGAAGUAGCAAAACUCUCCCAAAUUGGUGAUUGAGUGUGUGAGAAGUUGUCUUCUCCUCUUCCUAGUCUCAUCUUAAGUGCCUUGGUUCUCUCAAGUGGCGGCAUUGCACACUUAUCUUGGAGCUCUCACAUUUCAAGUGGCGUGUCCAUCAACCAAGCUCUUCAUUCACAUAAGUUCCUCUCUUCUCCAUCUUUUCAUUUCAUCUCCUUGUUCAUACGAAGCUUAAACAUGUCUUAGGUUCCUAUUCUUGCAAUUUCAUUCGGUGCUUUAGCUGAAUUCUAGUUAUGGUUCGAUUCUUCUUCUCUUUGGCUGGUUUCAUUUGGUUCUUCUUCAUUUCCUCUUAAUUUUUUCGGUGCAUUUCAGUUUCUAAGCUUUUUAAUCGGUGCUUUUGUAUUCUUACCUCUUUUAAUCGGUUCAAUUGGCAAGAAAUGGGUCUUCUAUGUGAGUUUGGUGUUUGGUGCAAGUUUUGGUGAGUUCUUGAAACAUAGAACAUUGAUCCAUUUCUAUUAAAAGUGCCUAUUCAUUCUCCAACUCAAGUGGAUUCCAUAAAAUGUCAAAGAAUCAUCUAUAUCUUGCUAGUGGAAUCAUAUCACAUACUCACCAUCUAAUUGCAUGAUUAACAAGUAAUUAACAAGAGUUAAAUUGCAAAGAAAUUAAAUGGCACUCCCUUUGUUGAUUUUCUAAUUGCACUCCCUUUGUUGUUUCUUCUUUGUUGGGUCUUCCCAAGGUGUGUGGUAUAUUUAGUAUGUGUUUGUUGCUGCCCCUUGCCUUUGAUCCUCUUGGGAUUAGGUAAUUAAAUUCUUCAAUCUAGCACCUAUUAAGCAAAACUAGACUCACCUCAAGUCAAUUCCCACUCAACAAGUACCAAUUGAUAUUUAAUCCACCACCAAGCUUAGAGGUCAAAGAAAUAAAGCAAGAAACAAAUUAAUUUGAAAAACAGUACCACACAAAUGGAAUUAAAUGUGACACAACUUAGAAAGAGUUCAAAUGAAAUUAGACAAGCAAAUAAAAAGGUACUCAAAGAAAGGAUGGCACACAAAAAGGAACCUAUGGAAUAGCACUAGAUUUGAUUUAAAAACCAAAAAGAGCACCACUGAAACAAAUUGUUGUGGUCCAGAAAGCGUGAUUUUCACAGAUUUAUGCUGAGCUGGCCUUUUAAUAUUUGCUUCUGAAAAUUUAUAUUCAAACGCAUGCACCAUUUAAUUUUAAUAAUUUUUCUAAAAUCAGUGCUCAGAACCGCCAGUUGUAGCAUCAGGAUUGCACACUGCUUUUGUAAUAUUUAUCUUUUUUUUCUAUUUCUUUUUUUCAACUGAUUCUUUUUUUUUCCUCUUUCUAACACCUCAAUCUAGCAAAAUCCAGAGUCUCAGAAUUUUCUUAUGUGGCAUUUAAUUUCCAUAAGCAAAAUCAGCCAAAAUAGAAUGGUGGAAAACAGAGGAUUCUGCAAAUCUGGAAACAAAAAACAGAAUGAUAUACCAAUGAAAACACAAUGGAAAUGGUGUAAUAGAAUUUGUGUGGAUCUAACACACAAAUAUGAACUCAAACUAAAAAUAAAAAGCACCAAAGGAUCAAAACACAACAGAUUUUAGAUCAAGCAUUCAAACCAAAAACAAGAAACAAAAUAAACCAAGAAAAGUACUACUAGGAUUUGAUGACAAAUAUGGAAACACAAGACUUGACAAAACUUAUAGAUUCAGAAAAUAAAAUGACUCAAACAUAUUAAUAUGAACCGAAUAAAAUUUCAAUCAAGACUCAAGAAACCUAAAAAAAUCAAAAACAGCAACACAAUGUAUCAAGAAUCCUACACAAAAUUGAAAUAAGAUGCUCAAGCAGAAUUUGAACAAAAUCUACCGAUUGAAAUGAAUAGAUAAACAUUCAAAUCAUAUUAAAAACAUAAAAACAGCAAGACAACUUGGAAUCAAGAUGAACAACUAGGAAAUAAGAAGAACUCAAAAAGAAAACACAAAGAGAUGCUCAUCUUUGAAGACCAUAGCUCAUGAUACCAAAUGAUGGCAUUCCUAUGAGCUCUUCUUUGAUUCUGAUGAUGAUGGGUGCGGAAGCUUAGUGGAGGAGACUGGAACAAGGCCUUCCUAGGAAGUGUGGGUGCCUUGAAGGUGCAUGAGGAGUAGUGAGGGUUGGAGUGGUUCGGCCAUCUCCAUUUGAGGGUGAAGAUUGAAGACUAAAAACCUAAUUCUAGAGAGAAUUUGGCAAGGGAGCAAUUUGAAUGGCACUUGGGCAGCAUUUUAUUACUCAAAAUAGUCUUCCAAAUACAUGAGCCAAGCCCUCUUAUUUAUAGUGUUUAGAGGGCUGGAAAUUAAAAAGAAAGGGAAAUUCAAAUGAAAAGCAUUUGAAUUUGGAGCCAAUUCCUAGUCACAUGGAAAGUGUGACUUGGUUUCAUUUUUUUGGCACCUCCUAAAUCUACACCUACACCUUCUUUUUAUGUCACAUGGAAGGUGUGGCUUAGCUUUAUACAUUUGCACCUCUUAUAUUUAUAUCUACACCUCCCUUUAUGUUCUACUAAAAAUACUCAAAAGUAAUUACAAAAGAAACACAUCCAAUGAUGCUUAGUUGGCCAAUAUCUUCUAUUUGUUGGGCUUGAGAUGAAGCUUGAACUUGUAUUUGGGCUUGGGCUUGGGCUUUUUCUAUCAUGGGCUUGGGCCUCUUCCAUCAUCCCCUUCCUCUUGAAAAGGAUUUGUCCUCAAAUCCAAUGCUUCUUCUUCAUCAUCAUUAUGUGGAUGUAUGUGGCUGGAU
Molecule: long non-coding RNA, 5989 nt
Filed under: Phaseolus vulgaris (common bean)
Lineage: Eukaryota; Viridiplantae; Streptophyta; Magnoliopsida; Fabales; Fabaceae
Description: long non-coding RNA (PVUL_LNC001674)
Source: RNAcentral